RNAcentral lists this long non-coding RNA (1506 nucleotides) under Heterocephalus glaber (naked mole-rat). RNAcentral's name for it is "lncRNA (ENSHGLG00000048317.1)". Lineage: Eukaryota; Metazoa; Chordata; Mammalia; Rodentia; Bathyergidae. The record is from RNAcentral.
CACAUCAACAGAUAGCUGAAGAACAACUUAGGGUUCGGUCUCAGGCUUUAACAACAACUUGUUCUCAGGGAUCCCACAAGAACUACCUCAGUCCCUACUGAGGUCAAUCCCCAUGACUUAAGCAUCUCCCACUGGGCCCUACCUCUUAAUUGAGGUCUUUCAACAUUGAAUCUACCUUCCUCAGCUUCCCAGAGUGCUGGGAUUCCAGCAAUUUAGAUUUUUAUUUCCAUUGAAAUACUCCUCCAUCAUCUGAAACUCGAAGAAGUUCCAAAGGCAACUGGAAUGAUUGGGCGUCAGUGGGAUAAAGGCACCAAGUGAUCUGGAAGACAUCGAGCUGCUGACACACGGAACAACCUGGGUAAAUCUUGAAUAUACACCAUUACGCUGAGUAAAAAAAGCCACACACAGAGGGAAACACUGUUGGAUUCCAUUUUUUAAAGGACAGUCUGAAAGGCAAAACUAUAGUGGCAAAAUUUAGACCAGUGGUUGCCAGAAUUGGGGAUGAAGGGGCUAACCUGGAUAAAACUGGGGUUAGUGGAACAUUUCUGGAUAAUGAAAAUGCUGUCCUGUUUAUCUUUAUUGUGAUUAUAUCUACAUGGUUGUUUGUAUACAUUCAUCAAAAUGUACAUGAAGAAUGGAGAAUGUUCUAUACAUAAAUUGUGCCUUGACACAUCCAAAAUACCUGACUUAAACAAUAAGCGUUAUCAUACCAAGAGUUAGACUGACAGGCCCAAUACGGUGGGGUUACUGUCUUGCCUCAUUGGAAUAAGACACUAUUAAUGCAGUUAAAACUAGUACUUGGCUUAGGGAAACCGUUUCACAAUUUUGUCUCAAAUCAAGCUUUUAAUCUGUUAAAAAAAAUCCUGUAUGUGUCUAGGUUUUUAAAGUAAACUAUAGUAAUACAUACUAAUAGUUUAAAGAUUGCAUUAUAUAUAUGUAAACCCAUUGUAUGAAUGUCACAAGAUCUUUUGGAAUCUGUGUUAUGCUAUGUAGAGUAUUAUAUAUUCCCUACAGCUUUGUGUGAUCCAUAAUUUAGUCAACAUGCUUUAUGGAAAGUAUUUUUCUGUGUGGAAAAAUCAUUCUAAAUCUGUUUUAUGCCCAGUUUUAUGGCACAUGUGAUCUGUAUAUGGUAUCUGAAUCUAAAUAAAUUUAUAAAUAACUUUGUCAGUGUAAGUGAAGUAACGUGUUCUGAUAUUAAUAAUUUUUUGACAGUGAAUUUCUUUUACUCAAAGAUGGCCAUGACAAAUUUUAUUAACUAUCAAAAGCUACAUUUUACUAAAAACAAGCUGUCUUUAAAAAUUUUUUUUAUUUUAAAAAUUUAAUGAAGAAAUACCGUUUUGUAAAAGGAUUUAAGAGCAUAGUUAGAAAAGCACAAAAUUCAUACUAAGACUAACUUAACAACCACCAAAACCUAAAGAUAGUCCCAGUGAAAAAAAAAAAUAAGUGCAACAUAUUUAUGAACAUAACAGAAAAUUUUGAAACAAAAUAUUAGGAAAAGUAAUACAG